UCUGGGUCAGUGAGAACUGCUGGUCUGGGUCAGUGAGAACUGCUGGUCUGGGUCAGUGAGAACUGCUGGUCUGGGUCAGUGAGGACUGCUGGUCUGGGUCAGUGAGGACUGCUGGUCUGGGUCAGUGAGGACUGCUGGUCUGGGUCAGUGAGGACUGCUGGUCUGGGUCAGUGAGGACUGCUGGUCUGGGUCAGUGAGGACUGCUGGUCUGGGUCAGGGAGGACUGCUGGUCUGGGUCAGGGAGGACUGCUGGUCUGGGUCAGUGAGGACUGCUGGGUCACUGCAUCUGUAGUGUGGCCCGUACUGGAGCACUGCAUCUGUAGUGUGGCCCGUACUGGAGCACUGCUGAAGGUCAUAUGGAAGAAUGAACUAUGAAGCCUUUGUCCAAUAUGGCACCCUAAUCCCUAGAUAGUGCACUGCUUCGGGCCUGGCAACGUCCCAACGUCUCAUUGGUUCCACUCCUGGCAACGUCCCAACGUCUCAUUGGUUCCACUCCUGGCAACGUUCCAACGUCUCAUUGGUUCCACUCCUGGCAACGUCCCAACGUCUCAUUGGUUCCACUCCUGGCAACGUCCCAACGUCUCAUUGGUUCCACUCCUGGCAGCGUCCCAACGUCUCAUUGGUUCCACUCCUGGCAGCGUCCCAACGUCUCAUUGGUUCCACUCCUGGCAACGUCCCAACGUCUCAUUCAUAUAUCCCAUCCUCUGGGGGUCUGCAUGGAUCAGACUACAGCUCUAUAUCCUAUCCUCUGGGGGUCUGUGUAGAGCAGACUACAACUCUAUAUCCUACCCUCUGGGGGUCUGCAUGGAGCAGACUACAACUCUAUAUCCUACCCUCUGGGGGUCUGCAUGGAGCUAGCAGACGACAACUCUAUAUCCUAUCCUCUGGGGGUCUGUGUAGAGCAGACUACAGCUCUAUGUCCUAUCCUCUGGGGGUCUGCGUAGAGCUAGCAGACUACAGCUCUAUAUCCUCUGGGGGUCUGCAUGGAGCAGACUACAGCUCUAUAUCCUAUCCUCUGGGGGUCUGCAUAGAGCUAGCAGACUACAGCUCUAUAUCCUAUCCUCUGGGGGUCUGUGUAGAGCAGACUACAGCUCUAUAUCCUAUCCUCUGGGGUCUGCGUAGAGCAGACUACAGCUCUAUAUCCUAUCCUCUGGAGGUCUGCGUAGAGCUAGCAGACUAGAAACAUUUGACUGAAUUUGAUGCCCAGUACAACUUGAAGAGAGUUGGCAUGGCUGAUGUCAUGUGACAGGGUUUACAUGGGGUUUUGGUCCGUGGACCUACUGAUGAACUCAGAGUAACCUCAGUGCUGGGCCAGGAGGAGGUUUUCCACCAUCAACUUGUUCCCUACUUUGGUUUUCUAUUAGAAAUGGCACACGCUUUAAAAAAAAGCACAUGGUUUAUAUUUUAUGUUAUUGUGAUUUUAAAUGAACUUGAUAAAAUAAAGAUUUGUCAAACAUUUUGCUCGCUUUUUAUGUUUUUGCGAUGUAGCUGUUAAAUAACUGGACAGAGAUGUCUGUUUCUAUUUUAUAUGUAUUCUGAGACUUUUAGCUAAAACUUCAAACAAAAUGCAGAGACUCCUUCUGAUUGGUCCCUUACAGGACCAAGUGCUUCUGAUUGGUCCCUACAUGUCAGUUAGCAGACUCUUAUCCAGAGCCCCUUACAGGACCUAGUGCUUCUGAUUGGUCCCUACAUGUCAGUUAGCAGACUCUUAUCCAGAGCCCCUUACAGGACCAAGUGCUUCUGAUUGGUCCCUACAUGUCAGUUAGCAGACUCUUAUCCAGAGCCACUUACAGGACCAAGUGCUUCUGAUUGGUCCCUACAUGUCAGUUAGCAGACUCUUAUCCAGAGCCCCUUACAGGACCAAGUGCUUCUGAUUGGUCCCUACAUGUCAGUUAGCAGACUCUUAUCCAGAGCCACUUACAGGACCAAGUGCUUCUGAUUGGUCCCUACAUGUCAGUUAGCAGACUCUUAUCCAGAGCCACUUACAGGACCAAGUGCUUCUGAUUGGUCCCUACAUGUCAGUUAGCAGACUCUUAUCCAGAGCCACUUACAGGACCAAGUGCUUCUGAUUGGUCCCUACAUGUCAGUUAGCAGACUCUUAUCCAGAGCCCCUUACAGGACCAAGUGCUUCUGAUUGGUCCCUACAUGUCAGUUAGCAGACUCUUAUCCAGAGCCACUUACAGGACCAAGUGCUUCUGAUUGGUCCCUACAUGUCAGUUAGCAGACUCUUAUCCAGAGCCACUUACAGGACCAAGUGCUUCUGAUUGGUCCCUACAUGUCAGUUAGCAGACUCUUAUCCAGAGCCCCUUACAGGACCAAGUGCUUCUGAUUGGUCCUUUACAGGACCAAGUGCUUCUGAUUGGUCCCUACAUGUCAGUUAGCAGACUCUUAUCCAGAGCCCCUUACAGGACCAAGUGCUUCUGAUUGGUCCCUACAUGUCAGUUAGCAGACUCUUAUCCAGAGCCCCUUACAGGACCAAGUGCUUCUGAUUGGUCCCUACAUGUCAGUUAGCAGACUCUUAUCCAGAGCCACUUACAGGACCAAGUGCUUCUGAUUGGUCCCUACAUGUCAGUUAGCAGACUCUUAUCCAGAGCCACUUACAGGACCAAGUGCUUCUGAUUGGUCCCUACAUGUCAGUUAGCAGACUCUUAUCCAGAGCCCCUUACAGGACCAAGUGCUUCUGAUUGGUCCCUACAUGUCAGUUAGCAGACUCUUAUCCAGAGCCACUUACAGGACCAAGUGCUUCUGAUUGGUCCCUACAUGUCUGGCAGUUAGCAGACUCUUAUCCAGAGCCACUUACAGGACCAAGUGCUUCUGAUUGGUCCCUACAUGUCAGUUAGCAGACUCUUAUCCAGAGCCACUUACAGGACCAAGUGCUUCUGAUUGGUCCCUACAUGUCUGGCAGUUAGCAGACUCUUAUCCAGAGCCACUUACAGGACCAAGUGCUUCUGAUUGGUCCCUUUCAGACUAUUUAUGUGAACUCAUUGUGGUUUGCUUGUUUUUUUUUUGGUGCAGUCUGAACACUCCGAAGGAACUCCGACCCCUCAAACCCCCAAAGUGAACCCAACUGAGACCAUCUCAAGAGGGGGUCUGAGUUUGGUUUGCUUGAAUUCCGCGUUCAGGUUCCCUUUUUAGGACAAUGUGAACACAAAGCUCCCCAGGUUCCCCCACACUACUGCAGCACACUAAACUACAGCCGCGACCCCUCGCUGGAGACCAACGGCCGCGACCCCUCGCUGGAGACCAACGGCCGCGACCCCUCGCUGGAGACCAACGGCCGCGACCCCUCGCUGGAGACCAACGGCCGCGACCCCUCGCUGGAGACCAACGGCCGCGAUAGAGAGAUAUGCAGAUAAAAAUGUGUUUUUUGAUUAGCGGUUGUCAAGGAUGUACAGAAAUUCAAAUAUGUGGGGAGUUUUUGGUUCAGAUGAUGUUUGUAAUUUGUGAUCUAAAGGCAGAGAGAGCUUCGUACACUGUUUAUUCCAUUGUGAGAAGACAUAUUUGGUGAGAAUCACACCACGGAGGUACGGCAUCAGUCCCAGAUCUUAUUAAAGGGCCAGUAGCCCACAUCGGGUGGACACUUGACAAAUAUACACUUAUUAUUCUGCUAUUUAUUCUGUUAAUAUUAUUUACAUGUUAAUAAUAGUAUCUUCUGAUUAGUGAUUGCUUUUUAGUUCAAAGAGGAGACAUUCUAUUAGCUUCCAAAAUGUAAGUAGGUAUUAUAAACUCAGCAAAAAAAAGAAACUGUCAACUGUGUUUAUUUUCAGCAAACUUAACAUGUGUAAAUAUUUGUAUGAAUAUGAGAUUCAACAACUGAGACAUUAACUGAACAAGGUCCACAGACAUGUGACUAACAGCAAUUGAAUAGUGUGUCCCAGAACAAAGAGGGGGGUCAAAAUCAAAAGUAACAGUCAGUAUCUGGUGUGGCCACCAGCUGCAUUAAGUACUGCAGUGCAUCUCCUCCUCAGGGACUGCACCGGAUUUGCCAGUUCUUGCUGUGAGAUGUUACCCUGCUCUUCAAGGCACCUGCAAGUUCCCGGACAUUUCUGGGAGGAAUGGCCCUAGUUCUCAC
Oncorhynchus mykiss (rainbow trout) is the source of this 4072-nucleotide long non-coding RNA. The record is from Ensembl. NCBI's taxonomy places the organism in Eukaryota, Metazoa, Chordata, Actinopteri, Salmoniformes, Salmonidae.